ACAGGAGCCGGGAUAGCU
Molecule: transfer RNA, 18 nt
Filed under: Sphagnum rubellum
Lineage: Eukaryota; Viridiplantae; Streptophyta; Sphagnopsida; Sphagnales; Sphagnaceae
Description: partial tRNA-Phe
Source: RNAcentral